AGUCCAGGUGGUCGCCUUCGCCACUGGUGUUCCUUCCUAUAUCUACGCAUUUCACCGCUACACAGGAAAUUCCACCACCCUCUACCGUACUCUAGCUUGCCAGUUUUGGAUGCAGUUCCCAGGUUGAGCCCGGGGCUUUCACAUCCAACUUAACAAACCACCUACGCGCGCUUUACGCCCAGUAAUUCCGAUUAACGCUUGCACCCUCUGUAUUACCGCGGCUGCUGGCACAGAGUUAGCCGGUGCUUAUUCUGUCGGUAACGUCAAAACAGCAAGGUAUUAACUUACUGCCCUUCCUCCCAACUUAAAGUGCUUUACAAUCCGAAGACCUUCUUCACACACGCGGCAUGGCUGGAUCAGGCUUUCGCCCAUUGUCCAAUAUUCCCCACUGCUGCCUCCCGUAGGAGUCUGGACCGUGUCUCAGUUCCAGUGUGACUGAUCAUCCUCUCAGACCAGUUACGGAUCGUCGCCUUGGUGAGCCAUUACCCCACCAACUAGCUAAUCCGACCUAGGCUCAUCUGAUAGCGCAAGGCCCGAAGGUCCCCUGCUUUCUCCCGUAGGACGUAUGCGGUAUUAGCGUUCCUUUCGAAACGUUGUCCCCCACUACCAGGCAGAUUCCUAGGCAUUACUCACCCGUCCGCCGCUGAAUCAAGGAGCAAGCUCCCGUCAUCCGCUCGACUUGCAUGUGUUAGGCCUGCC
Molecule: ribosomal RNA, 699 nt
Filed under: Pseudomonas sp.
Lineage: Bacteria; Pseudomonadati; Pseudomonadota; Gammaproteobacteria; Pseudomonadales; Pseudomonadaceae
Description: partial 16S rRNA
Source: RNAcentral